This is a non-coding RNA of Cydia splendana, 72 nucleotides long. The record is from the annotation of a RefSeq genome assembly. Lineage: Eukaryota; Metazoa; Arthropoda; Insecta; Lepidoptera; Tortricidae.
GGCGAGGUGGCCUAGGGGUUAUGGCGUUAGCCCAGAUAGCUAAAGACGCUGGUUCGAAUCCAGCCUUCACCA